Molecule: ribosomal RNA, 141 nt
Filed under: uncultured eukaryote
Lineage: Eukaryota
Description: partial 18S ribosomal RNA
Rfam family: Eukaryotic small subunit ribosomal RNA
Source: RNAcentral
UGGUGGAGUGAUUUGUCUGGUUAAUUCCGAUAACGAACGAGACCGUCGCCUGCUAAAUAGUCACAUCAACUUUGGUUGAAUGCUUGGCUUCUUAGAGGGACUCUGGGUGCUUCUAGCCCAGGGAAGUUGGCGGCAAUAACA